This 497-nucleotide ribosomal RNA is filed under the name uncultured bacterium. RNAcentral describes it as "partial 16S ribosomal RNA". It matches the Rfam family "Bacterial small subunit ribosomal RNA", at positions 28 to 507 of the family's 1533-position model. The record is from RNAcentral.
GAUGAACGCUGGCGGCGUGCCUAAUACAUGCAAGUCGAGCGAACGGACGAGAAGCUUGCUUCUCUGAUGUUAGCGGCGGACGGGUGAGUAACACGUGGAUAACCUACCUAUAAGACUGGGAUAACUUCGGGAAACCGUAGCUAAACCGGAAAAAUUUUUUGAACGCAAGGGUUCAAAAUGAAAAGACGGCUUUCUUGUCAUUUAUAGAUGGAUCCGCGCUGCAUUAGCUAGUUGGUAAGGUAACGGCUUACCAAGGCAACGAUGCAUAGCCGACCUGAGAGGGUGAUCGGCCACACUGGAACUGAGACACGGUCCAGACUCCUACGGGAGGCAGCAGUAGGGAAUCUUCCGCAAUGGGCGAAAGCCUGACGGAGCAACGCCGCGUGAGUGAUGAAGGUCUUCGGAUCGUAAAACUCUGUUAUUAGGGAAGAACAUAUGUGUAAGUAACUGUGCACAUCUUGACGGUACCUAAUCAGAAAGCCACGGCUAACUACGUG